UCAUCACUCUCUCUCUGCCACUUUUACUACUGCCCUUUCUUUUUCCCCCUAAGUUCUAGAGAUGAGGUUUUUACUGUUGUUUUCUUCUUUCCCUUUCCGACACCAUUUUCACUGCAGAUUUUGCUGCUGCAGUAAAAACCUAACUUUCACCCAAUGUAAAUGCAGUACAACACCCACUCAUGCGUACCAGUGUGUGUGAUAAAAAUGUUUUAGAAGUCGCUUUCUCAUCUCUGAUUCUCAUGACGAAAGCGACCCAUCAUCUCCUCUCUUGCUUGGAUUCACUUAUAGUCACUAUUCUUCACUUCUUUAAACCCCUCAAACCUUAUGAUUAUAUGUGUUUUAUGUCUCUGAUUUUCUUCCUUAUUAUUCUAAACACACACACACACAAAAAAAACAAGUAUAUAUAUAUAUGUGUAUAUAUAUAUGGAUCCUCUCUCUUGUUCUUCCCUCCAUCAUUUUUCAUCUGUUGUGUUCUCAGACCAAUAUAAACAGUGGGGUUUUAAUGGGGGAUUUAGGGUUUCAAUUGGGUGUGCAAGCCCUUUGUUGUACGUGUUAUCAGAUAAGUGCUGAAUUAGGUUUCUUUUCUUGUUUUUCUCACACCCGUUAGUUCUUGUAAUAACAGCUUUUUAUGGGUCUUUUUUUUUCUCCCUUCAUACAUGAGUUCUCUGAUCAUGAUUUUUUGAUGUGGCAGUAUUUUUCUGGUAUUCUUGAUAUGGGGUUUCAUCAUGAAGAUUUAUGGUGAGAUGGGCUGCUCUUCUGCUUAUCAAGAUGAGGACUUUAAGCUAGGAUUUUCUCGCCUGAUGUGAUUUCUUGGUCUUAACAUUGCGGGAAGAAGGGACAAAUCAAUUAUUUUUUUGUAGUGUCGUCAGCUACGGAAGACGAGAAGCUCAGCUGGUGGGAGGCUGAUUCGCGGUGGAGUUGCUUGUUGCUAUUUGCAGGUUUUACGGGUUCAUAUUUUUGCUCGAAAAAAAUUAGUGGGCAGCUCUCUGUUCGUUUUUCUGCUCAAGCACUUAUUCCAACACAUUACUAGGUUUUCUUUUGCUGAUACUACUUUCCUGUGUUGGUCUAGCAGCAACCUUGAUUUUUACAUUGAACAUGACAAGGUUUCAUUUUACAAACAGUUUCAAAUGUGCAUCUUAGCAGAAAGCAUAUAAUUUGAUUCUAUCCAUUCUUGAUGAGUAUGAUGAUGGCUCAGUUAAGCCCAGAAUGAUCACAACCACACUUUUCUUCCCGUUCAAAUUGAUUAAAAGGUGAAUUUCAUUAGAUUCAGACAAAUUACCUACUUUUCUGCCUCAAAAUCUGGCAAUUGUCGUUCUCCAUCUUGUUUGUGUCUGUUAGUACAAUAUAAACACAUUUUCUUCUCAUGCAUGGCUGUACCACAAACUGCAUUCUUAACAAUGUGAUGUAAUAACUGGUGGUGGUACGAAACAUAUUUAAUUAGUGGCUCUCAUUAACUUAAUAUUCUUGAUCAGGUCAUGCAACGUCGUUGUGGUACGAACUUUUCUGCUUUUUAUUUCUGUGGUGCCAUUUUGAGACAGCAAGCAUAUGGGACGAGCCCGAGAACAAAGCGACUACAGAUGUUGCCAAAAAUGGAUGGCGGACGUCGUCCCGUUGGUGCCCUGUUUCAUGAAAAGGGACUAAUUGUUUUGAAAUGAUUCAUGCUGCAAACCUUUUGGAGUAGUACUUUUAAUUGUAUUUAAAUCCUGGUUAUGGAUAGAAUCAAAAUUAGAUUCGAUUUGUAGGGUGGUCCCCUGGUUUCUUCAUGUGUAUUUUAUUGUCCGAAAUGCAGUGUGUUAUUGGCUGUGCUGCUGUUUUCUUACACUAUUAUAAUAUCAUCUUUGAG
Molecule: long non-coding RNA, 1843 nt
Organism: Sesamum indicum (sesame)
Lineage: Eukaryota; Viridiplantae; Streptophyta; Magnoliopsida; Lamiales; Pedaliaceae
Source: RefSeq, a predicted model, not a curated record